UGGAAGCGUCCAGCAGGAAGAAUUCUUUAUUAACACACACAGGAAAGCCGAGCUCUCCUUGUCGCUGGUCCUCAGCUGCAACAGAAAAGGAACCGAGAACCAGGCUGCUUGGAAACUCACCCAUCCGCAGGCGUUGUUAAGGGAACCGCUGCUUUCAUUUACACUCACGGGCUCCUCCUUUUCCUCCUCAUCUACGCCCCCACCCACCCCUUAAGGAAAAACAAAACAAAACUUAUUUCCAAGACCAACGCUAAGCAAUUCACAGGCAGCGUCAUUUCAUCAACGCGCUCCCGUUGCACUCCGGACAUUCGGCCUGGA
This 318-nucleotide long non-coding RNA is filed under the name Sus scrofa (pig). Its description in RNAcentral is "lncRNA (ENSSSCG00025052880.1, ENSSSCG00040003432.1)". The record is from RNAcentral. Lineage: Eukaryota; Metazoa; Chordata; Mammalia; Artiodactyla; Suidae.